This is a non-coding RNA of Vicugna pacos (alpaca), 1892 nucleotides long. The record is from RefSeq and is a predicted model, not a curated record. Lineage: Eukaryota; Metazoa; Chordata; Mammalia; Artiodactyla; Camelidae.
UGUUACUGAUUCACAUGGAGGAAAGGAACGGAAACAAACAAACAGAAACCUGUCUGUUCUUAUCCAAGAGGGGAACAUUCCCAGGGCGAAGGGGAAGAGUCCACUUGGUUCCUAAAAUUACCGAAAGCCUCAUCACGGAAUUCAGUGCGGUUGGUUGAUGCCAAGGCAAAAAGGCAUUCUUUUACUGGUUAGAGAUGAUCAAUUGCUAUUUAUGGUUUUACGGUGGCUUUCAAAUGGCUCUGUAGCUAUUCUGUGAAGAAACAGGGAAGAAUGAUGAAAUCCUUUAUGUGCAAGUGUUUGUGCUAUUAUAUCAGAGAAAAUAAAAGGAAAGGAACGAGAGUGAGGCUAUGUUGCUUCAAGCCUUAACUCCAGCUGAGCUAGCUGUCCCAGCCACUCUGGCCAUGAGGCCAAUAUAUCCACCCCUUCCACCACCUCCUGCUCCCAUCCAGCCCCAGUUCCUGACACCGGGGCUCAGAAUUUCCCCUCCUUAUAGGGAUCAGUUAGAAAAUCCUGUGUUAGUUCCUGGGGCACGAGGACCUGGUCUGAUAAUGCCAUCUAAGACACGACAGGGCACCUAAUUUGGCCCAGGAGCCACUCCUGGGGCAGGGCAGUUUUCAUCACGAUGCGUGUAGGGGCUAAAUGCGAACAACCAGCCAGCUGUGUUUCUCAGAGUGUUUAACUGGAAAGAUCACAGUCCUCCUUAUAGAGAGGAUCCUCUACACCUGAAGCCCACUUGGCAGCACCCACAGCUGAACCAAAUCAAGACCCCAUGGAGGGAGGAAUGCCCUUAUUAGAACAGUACUUACUUGUGAAUCUUGGCAGGGCUUUGAAAGGGGAACCAAAGCAAAAGAGUUUGAAUAAAAUUUAAGAAAUUCAGCAAAUACUUCAAUUAAAGAAAAAAUCCCUCUGAAUUUUGUAAAGGAUUUAUCAGGCCUAUAGAUGUUAUACUAACACAGAUUCUAAGGUCCCUGAAACUAUUAGAAUGGUAAGUUAGACCUUUUUUGGUGGGGGAGGGGUGCCUCACAUAUCAGGAGAAAGUUGCAAAAAUUAGUUGGUGCCUUUGGAUUGAAUCCUUAUCAGUUGGUAGGUGGUUGGUUUUAAAGUGUUCAACGACAGCGAAUGAUGAAAGAAAAUAGAAAAUGAAACAGGACUUCUCCGGCAGUGGCACUGGAUUCCCGGAAGGCGAUUGCUGAAGGGAGGUAAGCCACAAUGGGGAAGGAACAAUGCGCCUAUCGUAAGCAGGAAGGGCAUGGGAAAGCAGGUUACCCUGGGCUAAAACAUAAGAAGGAAAAUAAUAAAAGAAAGAUGGGAGCCUCUCGUGUGGUAGAGAGAGAGGAACACUCUGAAUGAAGAUCCCCAGAGGCUCCCGUGGACUUGAGGUGCCCAAUUCCAAUUUCCCCACAGAAGCACCUGAUAAAAUUGACAGUAGGGAAUGAGCUGAUUAACUUUCUGACAGACUUCACCCUGGAACCUAGUUUCUUAGAUAUGUCAGAGUCUCCAGUCCUGCUUUUGGGCCAAGAUCUCCUUUGUAAAUUAAAUGCUCAAGUAACUUUUUCACCAGAACAGCUUGACGUCAGAGUCCCAACAGAACAUGCUUUAAGCCUCCAGACGAUGCUCAUGGAAACUCCAGAAAAGGAGACGAGCUCUUCCCCCUCGAAGGUCUAUGAAAAGCUGAGAGGAGAGUCUUCAACUGGAAAUGGCAGAACAACAAAACCUAAGGAAUAGGUGCCCAUGAUAAGGAAAAGACCGGCCAUUGAGUCCAACACAUCUUUGCAUGAGGGAGUGAUAUGCCUGCUGGAGCUCCGAAGUCUGCCACCGUCUACGUCGUCACGUUGGACUGGCUGCUCCUGUCCCCCGUCCAGAGGAGGGCUGAUGUUUUGUCCUGGACCACA